This 497-nucleotide ribosomal RNA is filed under the name uncultured bacterium. Its description in RNAcentral is "partial 16S ribosomal RNA". It matches the Rfam family "Bacterial small subunit ribosomal RNA", at positions 28 to 507 of the family's 1533-position model. The record is from RNAcentral.
GAUGAACGCUGGCGGCGUGCCUAAUACAUGCAAGUCGAGCGAACGGACGAGAAGCUUGCUUCUCUGAUGUUAGCGGCGGACGGGUGAGUAACACGUGGAUAACCUACCUACAAGACUGGGAUAACUUCGGGAAACCGGAGCUAAUACCGGAUAAUAUUUUGAACCGCAUGGUUCAAAAGUGAAAGACGGUCUUGCUGUCACUUAUAGAUGGAUCCGCGCUGCAUUAGCUAGUUGGUAAGGUAACGGCUUACCAAGGCAACGAUGCAUAGCCGACCUGAGAGGGUGAUCGGUCACACUGGAACUGAGACACGGUCCAGACUCCUACGGGAGGCAGCAGUAGGGAAUCUUCCGCAAUGGGCGAAAGCCUGACGGAGCAACGCCGCGUGAGUGAUGAAGGUCUUCGGAUCGUAAAACUCUGUUAUUAGGGAAGAACAUAUGUGUAAGUAACUGUGCACAUCUUGACGGUACCUAAUCAGAAAGCCACGGCUAACUACGUG